Molecule: unclassified non-coding RNA, 421 nt
Filed under: Hevea brasiliensis (rubber tree)
Lineage: Eukaryota; Viridiplantae; Streptophyta; Magnoliopsida; Malpighiales; Euphorbiaceae
Source: RNAcentral
CAUCACAAUGCUGACUGUCGACUUGGCUUUUCUCAUUGAGGGUCAGACUGAGUUGGAGCUUCCAGAACGACUCUUAGGUGCUGUCAGAUUCUCUGAGCUAAACCCUGCUUCUGCUCACUCAUUUGAACCAUNNNNNNNUGGAAGUGCUGAUAGUUUGCAGUCAUCAUUUUCAACACUUUUCUGGAAAUCUAUUGGCCAGGGGUUUUCUCAAUUUCUUAAUCCAGGUGCUCAAGAGGGUGUUUCUACCACUGGCUUGGCCCAUGUUAAUGGAACUUCCAAUCAUGAAGACUGUAGUGAUGAUACAAAGAAAUGGUCAGAAUUGUGAAAAUUAAUUACCUUGGAAAUGUUGUGCAAAUAAAUAUUUAAAUUUCAUUUCAUGUCAUGUUUGGCGCUAUAGAAAUGGAGGUUCAUAGCAUGCUGG